AAGUCGUAACAAGGUUUCUGUAGGUGAACCUGCAGAAGGAUCAUUAGUGAAGAUUCAAGGGCCAGCCAUACAGACGUACAAUAAGUGUGUCUCUGGCGGCUCGCAUCCACUAUACAUCCAUAAACCCGUGUGCACUGUUCUAAGGAGUAAGAAAGAAGGGAGGGAGAGUAGCAUGUGCUUUGCAUAUAACUCUCUCUCGCUCUCUUUCUCUCUCCGGUUAAUUACAAACUCGUAUGGAUUUGUAUGAACGUGAGACAUAUCGUUGGACCGUCACUGGCCAACAAAUAUAACACAACUUUCGACAACGGAUCUCUUGGUUCUC
RNAcentral lists this unclassified non-coding RNA (322 nucleotides) under air metagenome. RNAcentral's name for it is "partial contains small subunit ribosomal RNA, internal transcribed spacer 1, and 5.8S ribosomal RNA". The stretch from base 1 to 46 matches the Rfam family "Eukaryotic small subunit ribosomal RNA", at positions 1786 to 1831 of the family's 1831-position model. The record is from RNAcentral.